RNAcentral lists this ribosomal RNA (440 nucleotides) under uncultured bacterium. Its description in RNAcentral is "partial 16S ribosomal RNA". It matches the Rfam family "Bacterial small subunit ribosomal RNA", at positions 338 to 795 of the family's 1533-position model. The record is from RNAcentral.
CCUACGGGUGGCAGCAGUGGGGAAUAUUGCACAAUGGGGGAAACCCUGAUGCAGCGACGCCGCGUGAGUGAAGAAGUAUUUCGGUAUGUAAAGCCCUUUUAGUAGGGAAGAAAAUGACGGUACCUGACUAAGAAGCCCCGGCUAAAUACGUGCCAGCAGCCGCGGUAAUACGGAGGGGGCAAGCGUUAUCCGGAUUUACGGGGCGUAAAGGGAGCGUAGACGGCAGCGCAAGUCUGAAGUGAAAGGCCGGGGCUUAACCCCAGAACUGCUGUGGAAACUGUGCGUCUAGAGUGCAGGAGAGGUAGGUGGAAUUCCUGGUGUAGCGGUGAAAUGCGUAGAUAUUAGGAGGAACACCAGUGGCGAAGGCGGCUUGCUGGACUGUAACUGACGUUGAGGCUCGAAAGCGUGGGGAGCAAACAGGAUUAGAUACCCCAGUAGUC